AGUUGUGAGCCGAGGGCCAUUGCUGUGAUAGUAUGAGCCGAGGUAAGCUUAGUGCUACCUCUUUUCUUUUGUUUGUUAUUUUCUUUGAAUAAGAGGAUUGAAAGUUUCUGAAUAUUGUGAAGUGAAUUAUGGAAUGGAAAUGUAAUUGAUAUUAUUUGAGAAGAAGAAAGAUUGAAUGCUAAAAUCUGAUUGUAGUUCAGCAGAGAGAAUGAGUCUGUGUUUGUGUGAAACACUCUAAUAUGAAUGGCAGUUUUGUGUGAA
RNAcentral lists this long non-coding RNA (261 nucleotides) under Physcomitrium patens. Its description in RNAcentral is "long non-coding RNA (PPAT_LNC002748)". The record is from RNAcentral. Lineage: Eukaryota; Viridiplantae; Streptophyta; Bryopsida; Funariales; Funariaceae.